UUCCAGAUAGCAGCGACUCACCAUCGAUAUCAAGCUCACCUGGAAUCUGAAAUUUCAAGUUCAGAUUCACUAGGGACGCAAGCUUUAUUGGAGCAAAAAAUGUUGUGAUGUCUAAACACCAGAAUUUACCUGGAUGAUAUCCGGAGAGAGCUUGGUGAAAUCUAUCUCAGCUAUUGUGAUGUCUUUUGCCUCCGCUUGGAAGGGACUUCUCAUAAUCUCACUACCACCCCCAGUGGACAUCCGAUGCUCAGGCGAAGAUAUGGGGGAGGGGAGAGUGAGAAACGGAGACAGAGGGAGUGGCAUGCGCAGGCUAUCAGAUGUUCAUUCACAACACGGUCUUCACAGAAGUCGGGCAGAUCAAACUCAUAGUCAAGCAACAGAGGCAGUGUCAAUACCUUAUCACUGCAACAAACAAAACAAGAGAAUUAAAUUGCAAAACAUUCUUAUGAAAUAUUUCAUUCUUAUAAAAUUAAUAUUGAUAUGGGGAGAAAUCUCAAAUAUAAGGGCAAAUAGUUUAGUUGGAAAUAAACUUAUAGGGCUUUUUUGCAAGAAAAGUAUAAUACUUAAAACAAUUAGAAUAUUAAAUAAAAAUUGUUUCCAGUAACUGACAUUCAAUGGGCCUAUAGUCUUUUAGGUCAAUAUCCCUGCUUAUUGUAGAUUCAAUACUAACAGCCACGUAAAAGAGAUUCAAUCCACACUAAUGGCAGACAUAAAGCAUGUUUGAGUAACUCACCUAACGGGUUGGUCCAUUUGUAGAUCAUCAGCAGAUGGUUUUGUAAAAAGGUCUUUUACAGCCUUCAUCAUGUCUGUGGCCUCAACUUUGGAAAAUAAUUUGCACUUGAUGUAAAGUGAUAAUUUUAAUAAGUGCUGUCUCCUCUCUUUAUCUAAACUGUUUAAAAAAUGUGCUAAAAAAUUCAUGAGAAAUUGAUAAGAAUCACAGGCACCCAUUUGAAUUUUUGUGGUAGAAAAUACACUGUAAAAUAUAGUAUGACGUUAGUCAUGACAUUGCUGUGAAUAUAGGUGCAUAUCUAGAAAUUGUCAUCUACACAUUCCUCGCAUGCCAAAAAUUAUUUUCUUAGUUGAAUCAAACCUCUGCACCCUAGAAAAAAGGAGUGCAGUGGCAGAAGAGAGGACUUCUAUAU
Long non-coding RNA from Nematostella vectensis (starlet sea anemone), 1142 nucleotides. RefSeq lists it as uncharacterized. The record is from RefSeq and is a predicted model, not a curated record. The transcript is spliced from 3 exons. Lineage: Eukaryota; Metazoa; Cnidaria; Anthozoa; Actiniaria; Edwardsiidae.